GUGCCAGCAGCCGCGGUAAUACGUAGGUGGCAAGCGUUGUCCGGAUUUAUUGGGCGUAAAGCGAGCGCAGGCGGUUUCUUAAGUCUGAUGUGAAAGCCCCCGGCUCAACCGGGGAGGGUCAUUGGAAACUGGGAGACUUGAGUGCAGAAGAGGAGAGUGGAAUUCCAUGUGUAGCGGUGAAAUGCGUAGAUAUAUGGAGGAACACCAGUGGCGAAGGCGGCUCUCUGGUCUGUAACUGACGCUGAGGCUCGAAAGCGUGGGGAGCAAACAGGAUUAGAUACC
RNAcentral lists this ribosomal RNA (282 nucleotides) under uncultured prokaryote. Its description in RNAcentral is "partial 16S ribosomal RNA". It matches the Rfam family "Bacterial small subunit ribosomal RNA", at positions 505 to 786 of the family's 1533-position model. The record is from RNAcentral.